GAAAGUUCCCUUUCCCCUGGCUGGCACCUCGGAGGCCGCACGAUGCCUGGAGUUACCGUAAAAGACGUGAACCAGCAGGAGUUCGUCAGAGCUCUGGCAGCCUUCCUCAAAAAGUCCAGGAAGCUGAAAGUCCCCGAAUGGGGACUUGACACCGUCAAGCUAGUCAAGCACAAAGAGCUUGCUCCCCAUGAUGAGAACUGGUUCUACACACGAGCUGCUUCCACAGCGCGGCACCUCUACCUCGGGGGUGGCGCUGGGGUUGGUUCCAUGACCAAGAUCUAUGGGGGACGUCGGAGAAGCGGCGUCAUGCCCAGCCACGUCAGCCGAGGCUCCAAGAGUGUGGCUCGCCGGGUCCUCCAAGCCCUGGAGGGGCUGAAAAUGGUGGAAAAGGACCAAGAUGGGGGCCGCAAACUGACACCUCAGGGACAGAGAGAUCUGGACAGAAUCGCCGGGCAGGUGGCAGCUGCCAACAAGAAGCAUUAGAACAAACCAUGCUGGGUUAAUAAAUUGCCUCAUUCGUUAAAAAAAAAAAAAAAACAAAAACAAAAGAAAGAAAGAAAAAA
RNA transcript from Cercocebus atys (sooty mangabey), 563 nucleotides. It is a transcript of the gene named 40S ribosomal protein S19 pseudogene, with no coding region annotated. The record is from RefSeq and is a predicted model, not a curated record. The transcript has a single exon. Lineage: Eukaryota; Metazoa; Chordata; Mammalia; Primates; Cercopithecidae.